AACGAACGCUGGCGGCAUGCCUAACACAUGCAAGUCGAACGAGACCUUCGGGUCUAGUGGCGCACGGGUGCGUAACGCGUGGGAACCUGCCCUUAGGUUCGGAAUAACUCCCCGAAGGGGGUCCUAAUACCGGUUAAUGUCUUCGGACCAAAGAUUUAUCGCCUUUGGAUGGGCCCGCGUUGGAUUAGCUAGUUGGUAGGGUAAAAGCCUACCAAGGCGACGAUCCAUAGCUGGUCUGAGAGGAUGAUCAGCCACACUGGGACUGAGACACGGCCCAGACUCCUACGGGAGGAAGCAGGGGGGAAUAUUGGACAAUGGGCGAAAGCCGGAUCCAGCAAGGCCGCGUGAGUGAGGAAGGCCUUAGGGUUGUAAAGCUCUUUUACCCGGGAUGAUAAUGACAGUACCGGGAGAAUAAGCUACGGCUAACUCCGUG
This 433-nucleotide ribosomal RNA is filed under the name uncultured bacterium. RNAcentral describes it as "partial 16S ribosomal RNA". It matches the Rfam family "Bacterial small subunit ribosomal RNA", at positions 29 to 507 of the family's 1533-position model. The record is from RNAcentral.